Molecule: transfer RNA, 73 nt
Organism: Psychromonas sp. CNPT3
Lineage: Bacteria; Pseudomonadati; Pseudomonadota; Gammaproteobacteria; Alteromonadales; Psychromonadaceae
Rfam family: tRNA
About the family: Transfer RNA (tRNA) molecules are approximately 80 nucleotides in length.
Source: Rfam
GGGCGAUUAGCUCAGUUGGGAGAGCACCGCCCUUACAAGGCGGGGGUCAGUGGUUCAAGCCCACUAUCGCCUA